ACAACCUUAUAAGCCACAGAUGGUACCAAAAAUGUCGGUGUUGGCUGCCAAUGUUGUUGUAAUUGUACUUUUGUUUUUGCUUUCCAGUAAAGAAUCUUUUAUUCAUCAAAAAAUAAAAUAAAACAAAGGGAUCGGAAAAUCUGUGCAUAAUGAAACUAGCGGGUAUGGCAGAUGCAACGCACGUGGAGAGAUAGAUAGGAGAGAGAGUUCCAAGAGCAAGGGUGCAGGCCACACACACACACACAAGGGUAACAUCAUCGUCAUUGUCAUCAUCUAAACCUUAUCCCAACUAAUUGGGGUUGGCUACAUGAAUUCUUUUCCGCCAUUCCACUCUAUUAGGGGCCGUAACUUCAGUUAGACCAAUCUGUUUUCACUAACUCCACCCACGCCCUUUUAGGCCUCCCCCUUGCCCUUUUAGAGCCUUUAACUUGUACCAACUCAUUAUUUCUAAUCGGCAUAGUUCUUGGUCUUUGUUGCGCAUGACCAAACCAUCUAAAAGUUUACUUCCCCUCAUCUUAUCACAUAUUGAUGCUAUUCAUAAAUUCCCUUAGAUGCAUUCAUUUCUAAUUCUAGUUGUUUGACCACUCGCCCAUCUCAACAUCCACAUUUCGGCUUCACACAUCCAUCAUCAUCAUCAUCAUCAUCAUCUUAUGAACUCAAUUAAAGUGGUAGAAAUACCCCUGGCUGAAUUCGCGGAGACAUCCAAAUUAUCUAAAUAGUAAAUACACAUUCCUAUGUUGGAAAUCCCAUUGAAGAUAAAGAGACAUCCAAAUUACCCAAAUACCCUUUUCCAAUGUUAGAAAUCCCUUCCAAUGUCCUACUGAAACCCAACUUCAUGACUCCCCAUAGACUGAUUUCUUGCUAAAAUUGUCCCUAGCUACUGAUGUUAUAUAUAGUAGGGAUUAUAAGAUUAUACUAUUCAAAAAUAAUUUCAUGAAGGCCUCGAAUUUGGACACCAGUGGAAGCUCUGUUUGAAGUGGAUAAAAAUGCCCUUACUCUAACCCAUUAUGACUUGUAAGGGGUUAUAAAUGAAAUAUCUGACUCCUUACUGCAGAAAACACUGUUAGGGUUAUGCCUCGAAAAACUAGUGUUAUACUCUUUAUACCUCGGUUUAUUAUGUGAUGCAUUCAUUUAUUAGCCUCAUUAAUGUGUGUGGAACAUAGAAAUCAUAUUACAUGAAUGGGUUAAAGCGAGGGAUUCCUUUAGUCAUCCAUGGGAACCUGAGAUUGGGGGAGAGUUGUUGGCCAUGGAACUCAAUAUCCUAUUUAACCAUGACCAAUUAGCAGGCCGUUAGACAAAAUGUGGUAUUCUUAUCUUAUUCAUCCUGUGUGAGGGGAUUAACAAUGAGUCAGGAUGGAAGGUCUCCACUAUUGGGCACGACAACGAGUCGGUGUGCCUUGGCUUGACCCCACAUAGGGGUGUGAGUGUGCCAUGGGUACAGGCUCCUGGUUUGGACAUAUUAAGUACUUACAUUGGCAGGGCUAAUGACAAGUCUGUAGAUCUGGAGACACAUUAUUCUUAGAUUAGAUCGACUUGCGGAUGCACGAAGCUUCAAUUAAUCCUUAGACCUGAGGAGGUGUGGGCUGAGAGGUCUUGAUUACAUGUGCUUUGGCUCACUUAACGAAGUCAUCUCAUUGCCAUUAAAAGUGGGGAUAGUUGGGGGCAUACAUCAAGGUCCAUUGAAGCUUGCACAAAUCAACAAAGGAUCAGCUUGGUUACCUGGGACAUUACUUAUGUGCUGAUCUUAUGGUUUGGAUUAUUCCUCAAGUGUUUUAAAGGCUUACUAGCACAUUAAAAGUUUUCUAUUGGUUAAUUGGAGAUUUUCAACCGUUAAGUUUUAGUUUUGACUGUUGAUUUGUUUUAAACUAAGCUUGGUGAACAUCCAAUUGUUAAGAUCUGAUGAUCUAUACUUUAGGCCGACAUGGGAUAUUGGCUGAGGAUGGUGUCCACGGUAAGUUAAGGGAUUUGGUCGGUUGGAGUGCCUGGUUAGGACAAGAUCAUGAACUUUUGAUGAAUUAGGUCAUUACUGAAGUUUGUAAGGUGGUGGAGUAUCAUAACCGUUGUUUUUCCUAAUAGCUAGUUUUUUAUAAAUAGAUCCUGUCUCGGAGUGAGAGCAAAUAUAGAAGAAAGGGCCUUUGGACGCCCAAGCCC
Molecule: long non-coding RNA, 2151 nt
Organism: Magnolia sinica
Lineage: Eukaryota; Viridiplantae; Streptophyta; Magnoliopsida; Magnoliales; Magnoliaceae
Exons: 3
Source: RefSeq, a predicted model, not a curated record